Long non-coding RNA from Eptesicus fuscus (big brown bat), 291 nucleotides. RefSeq lists it as uncharacterized. The record is from RefSeq and is a predicted model, not a curated record. The transcript has 2 exons. NCBI's taxonomy places the organism in Eukaryota, Metazoa, Chordata, Mammalia, Chiroptera, Vespertilionidae.
AAAGUAAGGCGCCAAGAGGUUAAAUCACUGCCCAAGUUGCACACUGAGUAAGAGGAAGAGUUGGAAUUUGAACCCAGAUCAUCUGGAUCCAGAGAAACAUCUUGGCGGUUACCAGCUACUAUUACUGGAAGUGUGAUUCUUGAAGCUAACAUUAGGUUUUUCUUCAACUGAUAACUCAGUUCUUUGGCGGUAGUAAAUUAAAACAUCAAUAAGUUUGGAACAUGUAAAAUACAAAGAAGUCUUCAUUCUCUGUAAUCUAUCCUACCCAUUAAAUAUCAAUUUCUUAAAUGA